UAUGGCCAUAUUAGAUAGAAGCACUGGUUUCUAUAUGAUCACUGAAGUUAAGCAAUGUUGAGCCUGGUCAGUACCUAGAUGGGUGACUGCUUGGGAAUACCAGA
Acanthosepion pharaonis is the source of this 104-nucleotide non-coding RNA. The record is from the annotation of a GenBank genome assembly. NCBI's taxonomy places the organism in Eukaryota, Metazoa, Mollusca, Cephalopoda, Sepiida, Sepiidae.